Neltuma alba is the source of this 82-nucleotide small nucleolar RNA. RefSeq annotates it as small nucleolar RNA snoR53Y. The transcript has a single exon. NCBI's taxonomy places the organism in Eukaryota, Viridiplantae, Streptophyta, Magnoliopsida, Fabales, Fabaceae. The record is from RefSeq and is a predicted model, not a curated record.
GCUUCCAAUGAUGUUGUUUAAAAUCCAUGCUAAUGCUGAUCACGGAUGAUUAAUAAUUUUAAUUUGUGUCACUGAGGGAGCC